AUUUAAAUAAUUUAAGAAAAAUAUUAGUUUGUGGGACUAAAAAUGAAACAGGUUUCUUUAAAUU
Molecule: transfer RNA, 64 nt
Filed under: Aulacochilus grouvellei
Lineage: Eukaryota; Metazoa; Arthropoda; Insecta; Coleoptera; Erotylidae
Description: tRNA-His
Source: RNAcentral